This 492-nucleotide ribosomal RNA is filed under the name uncultured bacterium. Its description in RNAcentral is "partial 16S ribosomal RNA". It matches the Rfam family "Bacterial small subunit ribosomal RNA", at positions 29 to 507 of the family's 1533-position model. The record is from RNAcentral.
AGUGAACGCUGGCGGUAGGCCUAACACAUGCAAGUCGAACGGCAGCACAGUAAGAGCUUGCUCUUACGGGUGGCGAGUGGCGGACGGGUGAGGAAUACAUCGGAAUCUACUUGUUCGAGGGGGAGAACGUAGGGACACUUACGCUAAUACCGCAUACGACCUACGGGUGAAAGCAGGGGAUCUUCGGACCUUGCGCGAGCGAAUGAGCCGAUGUCGGAUUAGCUAGUUGGCGGGGUAAAGGCCCACCAAGGCGACGAUCCGUAGCUGGUCUGAGAGGAUGAUCAGCCACACUGGAACUGAGACACGGUCCAGACUCCUACGGGAGGCAGCAGUGGGGAAUAUUGGACAAAGGGCGCAAGCCUGAUCCAGCCAUACCGCGUGGGUGAAGAAGGUCUUCGGGUUGUAAAGCCCUUUUGUUGGGAAAGAAAAGCAGCAGGUUAAUACCCCGCUGUUCUGACGUUACCCAAAGAAUAAGCACCGGCUAACUUCGUG